GAAACAAAAGCUGCUGCCUUCAGUCUCUUCUGGACUUUCUGUGUAGCUACACCAAGCCUUCAGAGAUACCCACUCUGCAUUCUAGAUCAAGGCUGCAAGGGGUUUCUGUGCCACUAAAAGAACUUGAGAGGCACCUAAUGUGGCUUUACCUGUGCCUUUAUUUGUUCUUGCCACUGGCACCAUAUGUGCCAGCCCACAACAAACAAUGGCCUUAUCAGGAUGCUGCAAGAUGAUCCUCCCUCCAGGUGGCUUCACAGCAAAUGAACAAAGAAGCCGUUUAUUUAUUGAUGCUUCACCAGCAACAUUCAGGUUGGCUAUGAGGGGAUGUCUAUGACUGACAAGGAAGCUUCUGGUUUCAGUGGAGAACAGCUGAUCCUGAAAUACGUCAUCAUUUUGAAACCCUGUGCGUUGACUGGGCCAGUGGCCAAUGAUCUCAGAGAGAAGGGAGAUACACAGAUAUUAGCCAUAAAGUACAGGAUCACCAUGCUACAAACCACAAGCACAGAAAGCCAAGUAACAAAGAG
Long non-coding RNA from Mus musculus (house mouse), 524 nucleotides. RefSeq annotates it as predicted gene, 39596. NCBI's taxonomy places the organism in Eukaryota, Metazoa, Chordata, Mammalia, Rodentia, Muridae. The transcript has 5 exons. The record is from RefSeq and is a predicted model, not a curated record.